GGAUAGCUCAGUUGGUUAGGGCAUGGCGCUGAUAAUGCCAAGGUUGCAGGUUCAAUCCCCAUAUGAGACA
RNAcentral lists this transfer RNA (70 nucleotides) under Podarcis lilfordi (Lilford's wall lizard). RNAcentral describes it as "tRNA.Ile". The stretch from base 4 to 62 matches the Rfam family "tRNA", at positions 8 to 63 of the family's 71-position model. From Rfam's summary of the family: Transfer RNA (tRNA) molecules are approximately 80 nucleotides in length. Their secondary structure includes four short double-helical elements and three loops (D, anti-codon, and T loops). The record is from RNAcentral. Lineage: Eukaryota; Metazoa; Chordata; Lepidosauria; Squamata; Lacertidae.